This 497-nucleotide ribosomal RNA is filed under the name uncultured bacterium. Its description in RNAcentral is "partial 16S ribosomal RNA". It matches the Rfam family "Bacterial small subunit ribosomal RNA", at positions 28 to 507 of the family's 1533-position model. The record is from RNAcentral.
GAUGAACGCUGGCGGCGUGCCUAAUACAUGCAAGUCGAGCGAACGGACGAGAAGCUUGCUUCUCUGAUGUUAGCGGCGGACGGGUGAGUAACACGUGGAUAACCUACCUAUAAGACUGGGAUAACCUCGGGAAACCGGAGCUAAUACCGGAUGAUAUUUUGAACCGCAUGGUUCAAAAGUGAAAGACGGUCUUGCUGUCACUUAUAGAUGGAUCCGCGCUGCAUUAGCUAGUUGGUAAGGUAACGGCUUACCAAGGCAACGAUGCAUAGCCGACCUGAGAGGGUGGUCGGCCACACUGGAACUGAGACACGGUCCAGACUCCUACGGGAGGCAGCAGUAGGGAAUCUUCCGCAAUGGGCGAAAGCCUGACGGAGCAACGCCGCGUGAGUGAUGAAGGUCUUCGGAUCGUAAAACUCUGUUAUUAGGGAAGAACAUAUGUGUAAGUAACUGUGCACAUCUUGACGGUACCUAAUCAGAAAGCCACGGCUAACUACGUG